CAACUUUCUAUCAUAUCAGCUCCUGAAAGGCCUAGCUAGACUGAAUCAUAUCUUUUUCUUCUUCUUCUUCUUCUUCUUUUGGAGCUGGAGAUUGAAAUUCACUCAUGUUAAUAAGCAUGCGCUUUACCACUGAGUCGCACCCCAGCCCCAGGCUUAUUUCUUAAGCAAAAUUUAGGUUUAGUUGCUCACAGGAAAAGAUUUCAAGGGAAGAGACUGACUCUAUGUGAGCUAUAAAUGCAGCCAGUUUCCUGUCAGCAUUUUCUGGAAGUCUUAAUUUGAUGACGAAUGUCUCUAGUGUGCAUUUACCACUGGAAACUUAAAAGAGCUUGGAUUUUUUUAAUUAUCUAAAUAUAGAUAGCCACCUCUGGGAGCUCUGAUAAUAAGUAUAGGUUCUACAACUAAUUACUGCUUUCUCUGUGAACAACGCGGAAAACUCUUUUCUUGUCAAAGAAAACCGCAGCAAUAAAACAAAGUUGUAUGACUAAAAACACCAGUUGUGAACAAAGACAUAAAAGGAGAUAAGAAUAUGAUAUUCUUGAGAAUAAUGG
RNAcentral lists this long non-coding RNA (548 nucleotides) under Marmota monax (woodchuck). The record is from RNAcentral. Lineage: Eukaryota; Metazoa; Chordata; Mammalia; Rodentia; Sciuridae.